AAUUGACAACUAAUAGUGUUUGGCGAAAGGUGCUUUAUUAUAGUAAUGCAUAUAUAGUUAUACCAAGCAUGGUAUCAAUAAGCUACAAUGAACAAAAUGUGAAUAUGAAGCACCUGAACCCCAAUGUGGGUAAUAAUAAAAGUAAUUAGAAAAAAUUAACAAUACAAAGAAAAAGAAAAAAAAAAUGUUUUAUAUCAAUUACAUAAUAAAAGUGGCCUGGAACAUGCUCUUCCGCCCAAAACCACAUGGCAAUACAAACCCGGAUGAAGCAUCAAAGGGAAGCAAUUCUUACAAGGCGUCAUCAAUUAUGUACAAUGAGAGUUGCCUCCCAUUGUACGCAAUUGACAACUAAUAGUGUUUGGCGAAAGGUGCUUUAUUAUAGUAAUGCAUAUAUAGUUAUACCAAGCAUGGUAUCAAUAAGCUACAAUGAACAAAAUGUGAAUAUGAAGCACCUGAACCCAAAACGAAGUCGCCAAACACAGGGGUUAAUAAUAUAUACAUAAAAAAAAAAAAAAAAAAAAAACCAACAACACCAAAUCAAGAAUAUAAAAAUACACCGGCGAAAAUACCCUAACACUAACUACCAAUCAAAUAAUUCAUAGCUGACGUAACCCGAUACAUAUCAACACUAGCUUGUUUAAUGUAAGUCUGAAAACAAUCAGAUCUCCAGUCUCCGUGAUGUUUCAAUAAAAUCUCAGAAAUGCCAGCCUUGGUGGCUAAUGUAGCCCCUCCGUGUCUCAGCGAAUGAAAAGAAUAAACUGAAUUAAAGGGUCUAAACCAACAAGAACAAUUAACUCUCUAAAACGGUUCAACAAAACGGAUCUAGAUAAAGGCAAUAAUUUACCAUGAACAGGUAAAGCAAAAACGGGAGCAUUCUUAUCACCAGGUAUUAAAGACACAAGAUGCUUAUAAGCUCGAGCAGGACAUAUUGAUGGCUCAACUGAGCAACACAAGGAAACCUGAUGGGUGUAAUCAUGAUUUUGUCUGGUCUUUGACCAUUUCAAUAAAAGGAGGAUACCCUUUUCACUAACAACAACAUUAUCUCUGAUCAAUUGUUCACGGGAAUUAAAAGAUGUAGAGCUUCUGCUGACCAGGUUUGACGCCCUAAGCAUACCAAAAAAAGCAAACGUUAGAAAACACCAUAAACAAGCAUCUAAAUAAUCAUAAAUAUUCAACAACCUAACAAUAUCAAUUAAAUGUGCAGGUAACAAUGGUAAUUUUGACACAGCC
RNAcentral lists this long non-coding RNA (1230 nucleotides) under Mytilus galloprovincialis (Mediterranean mussel). The record is from RNAcentral. Lineage: Eukaryota; Metazoa; Mollusca; Bivalvia; Mytilida; Mytilidae.